This 484-nucleotide ribosomal RNA is filed under the name uncultured bacterium. RNAcentral describes it as "partial 16S ribosomal RNA". It matches the Rfam family "Bacterial small subunit ribosomal RNA", at positions 28 to 507 of the family's 1533-position model. The record is from RNAcentral.
AUUGAACGCUGGCGGCAUGCUUUACACAUGCAAGUCGAACGGCAGCGCGGGCUUCGGCCUGGCGGCGAGUGGCGAACGGGUGAGUAAUGCAUCGGAACGUGCCCAGUAGUGGGGGAUAGCCCGGCGAAAGCCGGAUUAAUACCGCAUACGACCUGAGGGUGAAAGCGGGGGACCGAAAGGCCUCGCGCUAUUGGAGCGGCCGAUGUCGGAUUAGCUAGUUGGUGGGGUAAAGGCUUACCAAGGCGACGAUCCGUAGCUGGUCUGAGAGGACGACCAGCCACACUGGGACUGAGACACGGCCCAGACUCCUACGAGAGGCAGCAGUGGGGAAUUUUGGACAAUGGGGGCAACCCUGAUCCAGCCAUGCCGCGUGCGGGAAGAAGGCCUUCGGGUUGUAAACCGCUUUUGUUCGGGAAGAAAUCCUCUGGGCUAAUACCCCGGGGGGAUGACGGUACCGGAAGAAUAUGCACCGGCUAACUACGUG